UACGUAGGUGGCAAGCGUUGUCCGGAUUUACUGGGCGUAAAGGGCGUGCAGGCGGUCUGUUAAGUGCAGGGUGAAAGCUCCCGGCUCAACUGGGAGAGGUCCUUGCAUACUGGCGGACUUGAGGGGGGUAGAGGAAAGUGGAAUUCCACGUGUAGCGGUGAAAUGCGUAGAGAUGUGGAGGAACACCAGUGGCGAAGGCGACUUUCUGGUCUGUAACUGACGCUGGAGGCGCGAAAGCGUGGGGAGCAAACAGG
This 254-nucleotide ribosomal RNA is filed under the name uncultured bacterium. RNAcentral describes it as "partial 16S ribosomal RNA". It matches the Rfam family "Bacterial small subunit ribosomal RNA", at positions 524 to 776 of the family's 1533-position model. The record is from RNAcentral.